UUUCUAUCUGUCCUAUUCUUAUUUAAACAAAUUUACAAAGUUCAAAGUCUUAGCUGUUUUUUUUCACCUUUUUUUUUUUUUUGAUACUUUUCCUCUGGGUUGCUUUUCCUCUAGGUUGCUUUUCCUCUGGGUUGCCUUUCCUCUUGGAUGCUUUUCCUCUAGGUUGCUUUUCCUCUGGGCUGGAAAGUUGUCUCGAACAUUAUGUGUCACUUUUAUUUCUUUGUGUUGUAUUUUUUAUGUUAAUCAGUUUUUGUUUUCAUUUCUCAGCACUAUAUUUUGUCUAAUUAUCUUUUAUGUCUGUUACAGUGGUGUUGAUUUUUUUCUGGUUUUACGUGGGAACAAUGGAACCAUGAGUCCUUCCCUGCAAUUUUUAUAGUUGUUGGGGUAGUAAGCAAUACUUCAUGUGGUCCAGUACAUUUUAUGUCUGUAGCCAAUUUUUGAUUGAAAUUUUUUAAGUAUACUAUAUCUCCUGGUUUGAUGUUGUGCAAAUUGUAAUCCAGGGGUACUGUUUGUUGUAUCAAGCCCAUUUCAUGCAACUCUGCUAUUCUUGUCUGUAAAACUUGUAUAUAUUUUGUUAAUUGACAGUCUAGUUUGUGAGAAGUUUUACGUCUAUAAUGGGAGUUGCUAUGGUUUAGUCAGAUUCAUUUAUGGAAGAAAUACAGAGCUCUGCUGAUCAUAAUCUGUUCAUCAAACUUCAUCUUAUCCAGGUCUGUGAGGAUAGCAAACUUUCCUAAUAUUGUUCUUUAUUUUACUUUUAAUUUAAAAAUUUUUUGACAUUCGGAAUAAUUUUUAAUAAUUGUUUCCUGAAAUGUUGUGAUCUGUAUUUCCUCCCUCACUUCCAUUCUUCCCCCCCUUCACAAGUCAUCAGGUAAUAUGAUAUAGGUUAUGUAGGUAUGAUCAUGCAAUACAUAUUUUCCUGUUUGUCAUAUUGUGAAAAAGGAACCGAUUGCUUACACUAGAGAAAAAUUCAUGGAGGAAGUAAAAUGAAGAAAGGUAUGUUUCAAUCUGCAUUCAGACUCCACCAGUACCUUUUAUGGCAAUGGAUAGCCUUUCUCCUCAUGAGUUCCUUGGAACUGUCCUGGAUCCUUGCAUUGCUGAUAAUAGUCAUUCACAAUUGAUCCACACACAUUAUUGCUGUUUCUGUGUACAAUGUUCUCCUAAUCAUGCUACUCAUGUGAUUUAUAAGGGCAGAGAUUCUCAAUUCAAGCCAGCAGCUAUUUGCUUGAUUGACUCCCCCUAAUGUACUCCUUCCACUCAGUCUUUUUACAUCUCUGUGUUAAUCAAUAAUAAUCAUCUAUAGGGGAAAAUCUCAGAACUCUAGAUUCUCUUCAACAUGAAGAGCUGAGAAUCUACAGAUUUGCCUCUUGUGCCCAAUAAACCGCUUGAUUCAUGAUUCUUUGUACAUUUGAGUUCCUUCUUGGUACCUCUACCUUGCUCUCCUCCUGCUCCCCAUUUAUAUUACAAAAGUGGGGAAGUGACGUAUACAUUUAAGUAAAAUAGUAGAACCAAGUGGACUUGAACUGAAAUUCUUUCACUUCAAAUUCAAUCCUCUUUUCUCUGCUACUUCAGGGUAUUAAUGCAAAAGGGCAGAUAUCCUCCUACAUAUGGAAAUUUCUGAAGGGAGAAGAGGAAGGGGCUUGGAGAAAUAUAGUGACUGCAGAAGCUGAAACACAGGGAUGAUUAGUAGUGCUGGUGUGAGCUCUGUGAGGUUCAGAUGCCACCCUGUUGGAAUGAAUCUCUGGGACAGUUGAGCAGAGCUCCUUUUUCAGAGCUAGGGUUGGGAGAGAGAGAGAGAGAGAGAGACAGACAGACAAACAGACAGAAAGACAGACAGAGACAGAGAGGGAAAGAGAGAGAUUGACAGAGAGAGAGAUAGAGAGACAGAGAGGGAAAAACAGAGACAGAGAGACAGAGACAGAGAGAGACAGAGAUAGAGAGAAAGAGCGAGGCAUGAGCCAGAUUUCUAUUUCUGUUUGGAUCUUAUAAAUAGCCAGGACCCCAUGUACCCAGGGUUGUUUCAUGUUACACUCUCUUUCAUUGCACUUAUGGUAGUGACUCCCUUGUCUCUUAUCUAGGAAUAUAGAUGUUGCUCAUUCUCUGACUCAACCCCACAACUGCUUAAGCUUUGCCCCUUUAUUCUUCCUAGUACAUGGCUUGAUUUAUUCUCCACUUAAUGUCACAGUUUUAGCACACGAGUUAACUGGAUCAGUGAAUGCAUAAUAAAAACUAAAGCAAUAAUCACAUGUAACAUAGACAAGACAUUACAUUCAGUCACUGACUCCAUCCCUUUCCAUCUCCUAGCCUUCUUUUGGUUUACUACUUAUAGUACAACCUGAAGAGAAAGCAACUCAGAAACUUAUUGUGUAAAGAUACCCUUACUUCUUCUCUGUGAAACAGGGGCAGCACUUGGGAAGUUAGUUAAUUGAUGACAGGAUUAGAUAACCCCGUAGUAAUUCUGGUUAUUCUCUUGGCCACAGAGGCAUAAGAAACGGGAAUACUAGAGCUUCCAAAUUAGUGUAAACAUAUAACACACAUUUUGCGUUCCCCUCUUGUUCAACUGACAGCUUACAGGCUUGUUCCCCACUCCUUCAUGGUAAGCAGAACCUCGAACUCUGAGCCUCUGCCUUUUUAUGUGAUUGUUAUUUCUGGGUAUACUCAUACAAGUUUUAAGACUAAUGACUCUUUAUUUUUAUUUCCCAUUGAACAAUGACUGUGAGAAUCACUCUUUACAGUGCUUUCUAAUCUUUCAUCAGUUUACUUGCUUUAACCUCUCACCCAUGGUUUCUGCCCUGGAAAAUGCUUGGAUCAUAUAAAAUGAAAUAUGUAGCCUAUGAUGCAUGAUUAGAAUUCUUCUGUUUCCAUUAUGUUUUUGCUAAUUCAACUAAGAUGUGUUUUUAAAAUUAUGAAUGACUCUGUGGUACUUCCAUCUAGUAAGCUACCAAUGUGGGAAUAAGCCAUUAAUGAGAAUUCCUAGAUUAUGAUGACUAAUAAUUUUUAUCUGAAUUGUAUCAGAUCUGAAAAGGCUGCAGGUUUCCAUUGGAACUGAACGCAUUUGUUUGGUGGUUGUGUGGCAGCUGGUAGCCUUAUAUGACGAAUAUAAAGUCCUUUAUAGAGUCCAUCUUAAUUGUAAGCAGUCAUGAUUCAUGUUAUUACUAUGGUACAUGGUACCAUGCUGUAACUCAAGACAAUCAAAAUGGUAUCCUGCCAAAAAGCAAAAGGGCAAUUGAAAAAUGCAUGGUGAGCAGGAUUAGGCUAUGUGAAGACUAAAUUUAACUCUCCCUUGAUUGUGAAAGUGAAAUUAUGUAACCCCUGACUAUUUUUAGAACACCUACUUAAAGUUGAAUGGGGAGAUCUGUCCAUUUUUAGAGCUAAUCACCAAAAGUAUAAACAUCCCACUUAUUCAUUAAGUGGGAGGUCUGUGACCCACAUGUGCAAUAGUGGGUGAUGAAUAAGAAUCGACUGACUCCUGGGCAGUACUAAGCAAGGCUUUAAACUAUGAUUUGUCCACAUAAAAAGUGGAGGAAGACACAGGAAGUGAUGUGAGAUAAAGUGUCUUUAAAAGGGAAUGACAACUUCCUGAAGGAGUUCUAUUGGGACUUCAUUCUUUGGAGUGGAGGUUGAAGGAGAAAUCUGCUGACUGGACCUGAGACCCUAUUCCUGAUGAUAUUGUUGGACUGACACAUGCUGAACUCCUUAUGGCAUGGACUUGAGGGCCAUUAUCAUUCUCUUUGCUCUUCUAUGGAUGCUCUCCAGUUUGCCUUUAAAUGAGACUGCUGCCACACUCUCUGGUACUGCUAAAAGGAACUUCAGAAAUGGAAAACCUUUCUGGACAUCUUUGAAAAACUUCCACAGAACAUGGUGCAGCCCAGACUCAUGGACUCUUGGAAAGCUCCUUUUCCAUCUCUGCUGCUGCUUGACCUUAUCACUCACUGCCAGUACUCAGCUCUUUCCAAAGCUACAAAGACUUUAAAUGGGGAGGUGCUAUCCACAAAAGAAACUCAAAUAGAAGAUGAGAGCUGGAGGUUAGGCUCCAAAAAUUAAACUUAAAAGCAAUGUAAUUGGAGUUUUAUGCUCAUUGGAUCAAAUUGGGGUGGAUACCAUUUAUAUUUGAGAAACUGAAACUCAUUUUCAUAUCCAGAAUGUUUGCAUAAUCUUAGGCCACAUUUGCCUGCUUGGCAUGGUCAAUCUCCUUCCCUGUAUCCUAAUCAUCUCUCUUGCUUCUGUCUUCUUGCUACCUUCUUCUUAAUGAAAACCAUCUCUUCAUUUCUCUUAUGCCCCUCUGCUUGGUUCUUGCUUCUCACUAUUUAAACCAUUAUUGCAACUGCUCAUUGUCUAUGGGAGUGGGGCGGGAAAUGGGAGGGAAAGAACAUGAAUUAUGUAACCAUGGAAAAAUAUUCUAAAUCAAUUAAUGAAAUAAAAAUUUUCAAAUAAAAAAUGUCAUCUCCUUGUGUGUAGGAACUGUUUUGCUUUCUUAUAUAAACAUGUAUCCUGUACGAGGAAUGUGCUUAAUAAAAAAUUUUAUCAAAAAAAAAAAAAACACCCAAACAUUGCUUUGGUUACUGCCUCACCUUCCCCAGACUCAGAUGCUUAGCCUCAGUCCCAGGUGUCAUCCAGUGGAAAGAUGUUGCCUCCAAGUCUUAGUCUUGGAUAAAUUGUGCCUUUUCCUUCUCAAAGCCCUUAUAUGUCAUAUCCACUCAAAAACUUCAAUCUUCACUUUAGCAUUGACCUCCCACCUUCAUUUUCAGAGACAUACUGGAAAAGUUGACAGUGAAUCAGAGCUAUCAGGUUUACCUUUUGUCUUUUCACAGCUGCAGACUCCCAGGCUUCCGAGCAGCUGCAUUGCUGAAGAGAGCCGGCUCUCACCCUUAGAAAGGACUGCUCCAGACUUGGCACCUCUCCCAUAGGGAUUGCAUCUGAAACAGCUGCUUAGGAACAAUGAAGACCUAUCAUACACUUUCUUUUCUACCCAGAUUAAAAAAAAAUUAUCUCCAGCUUUCUGGAGAGAUUUAGCAGAAUUGUGUUUCUGAUUGAGAGAGCCUGGGAAGUUUCUGUUUAGAUUGUACCUACUCUGACUGCCCUUGGUAGACUCCUUUUCCUUUCCCUUCUUUCUUGGGAGUCUAUGUUUCCUUCCUGGUCAGGAUCCUGGGGACCAAUCCGGAGAAGCAAAUCUUACUUAUAUUUCAUCUUGAGGUCCUUCUCCAUAAAAAUAGCAUCCUUUUAGGGGCCUAUAUUUAUAUAUAUGUGGAUGAAGAAGAGGUCUGCUGGAUUGCUCAGUGGAUAGAACAUUAGGCCUGGAGUCAGAAGACAUGAGUUCAAAUUUGAUCUCAAAUGCUUACUAGGAUGUGAUCUUGGGCAAGUCAUUAACCUCUGUUUGCCUUAAUCCAGUAGAGAAGGAAAUGGCAAACCGCUUCAUUAUUUUUGCCAGGAAAUCCCAAAGGACAGUAUGGUGCAUUGGAUCAUGAAGAGUCUAACUUGACCCAAAGACUUAAUAACAGCAAUAA
Monodelphis domestica (gray short-tailed opossum) is the source of this 5501-nucleotide long non-coding RNA. RefSeq lists it as uncharacterized. Lineage: Eukaryota; Metazoa; Chordata; Mammalia; Didelphimorphia; Didelphidae. The record is from RefSeq and is a predicted model, not a curated record.